This 253-nucleotide ribosomal RNA is filed under the name uncultured bacterium. RNAcentral describes it as "partial 16S ribosomal RNA". It matches the Rfam family "Bacterial small subunit ribosomal RNA", at positions 524 to 776 of the family's 1533-position model. The record is from RNAcentral.
UACAGAGGUCUCAAGCGUUGUUCGGAAUCACUAGGCGUAAAGGGUGCGUAGGUGGCAAGGUAAGUUUGAUGUGAAAGCUCAGGGCUUAACCCUGAAAUGGCAUUGAAUACUACUGUGCUGGAGGUUUGGAGGGGGGACUGGAAUUCUUGGUGUAGCAGUGAAAUGCGUAGAUAUCAAGAGGAACACCAGUGGCGAAGGCGAGUCCCUGGACAACACCUGACACUGAGGCACGAAAGCUAGGGGAGCAAACAGG